UAGUCCACGCCGUAAACGAUGAGUACUAGCUAUUGGGGGUAUUGACUCCCUCAGUGGCGCAGCUAACGCAUUAAGUACUCCGCCUGGGAAGUGCGGUCGCAAGACUAAAACUCAAAGGAAUUGACGGGGGCCCGCACAAGCGGUGGAUUAUGUGGUUUAAUUCGAAGCAACGCGCAGAACCUUACCUAGGCUUGAAAUCCCUCGAAUCCCGAGUAAUUUUGGGAGUGCCCGCAAGGGAAUGAGGUGACAGGUGCUGCAUGGCUGUCGUCAGCUCGUGUCGUAAGAUGUCUGGUUAAGUCCAAUAGCGAGCGCAACCCUUAUCCUUAGUUACCAGCAUUAAGUUGGGGACUCUAGGGAGACUGCCGGUGUUAAACCGGAGGAAGGCGGGGAUGACGUCAAGUCCUCAUGGCCCUUACGGGUAGGGCUACACACGUACUACAAUGGCAGAUACAAACCGUUUGCAAAGCCGCGAGGUUGAGCUAAUCGGUAAAACACUGUCCCAGUCCGGAUUGGAGUCUGCAACUCGACU
RNAcentral lists this ribosomal RNA (529 nucleotides) under uncultured bacterium. RNAcentral's name for it is "bacterial SSU rRNA". It matches the Rfam family "Bacterial small subunit ribosomal RNA", at positions 791 to 1317 of the family's 1533-position model. The record is from RNAcentral.